RNAcentral lists this ribosomal RNA (113 nucleotides) under uncultured euryarchaeote. Its description in RNAcentral is "partial 16S ribosomal RNA". It matches the Rfam family "Archaeal small subunit ribosomal RNA", at positions 345 to 457 of the family's 1478-position model. Lineage: Archaea; Methanobacteriati; Methanobacteriota. The record is from RNAcentral.
AACCUUUACACUGCACGCCAGUGCGAUAAGGGGACCCCGAGUGAAAGGGCAUAUCGCCCUUUCUUUUCUGAACCGUAGGGAGAUUCAGGAACAAGAGCUGGGCAAGACCGGUG